RNAcentral lists this long non-coding RNA (1271 nucleotides) under Bos indicus x Bos taurus (hybrid cattle). RNAcentral describes it as "lncRNA (ENSBIXG00000010932.1)". Lineage: Eukaryota; Metazoa; Chordata; Mammalia; Artiodactyla; Bovidae. The record is from RNAcentral.
CGACUUCUUCCCUUUGGCAAACGCUGAGCUCCUGCUCUGUUUUGUCCAAUUAUGGGUUGAGCUCACCCCUGCCCACGAGCCAGCUAAUCAGACUUUUAUGAGCCUUGCUCCCUCACGCCCAGGGCCCGGAGCUGAAUGCAGGUUUCUGCAGAGAGAGGAGGACGUGCUUUUUGCCGGAAGACUGCUUCCCACUCUGACCUAAUCCUGGGAGCCCUGGAACCUCAAAUCCUAGCUCUCUGAGGAGAGUCCAGCUUCUUCCAUCAACAUGGACCUCAGGACCCUGGUGUGAGAAAGGGCCUGGAAGAUAAGCCUAGACAUCUCCAACUGGAACUCGGGAUGAAUUCUCCCAUAGACCUACCUGUGAAUGGUGCCUGGCAUGGUCAAGGCUGAGACAACUAAAUGUGUGUUUUGUAUACACCCUCUAUGAAUCUGUGCUGGAUUGCCAAAAUAUGGAAACAUAAGUAGAAACACCUAGAGAGUGCCUGACCUUGUGAAAAAGACCUAUAAUUCCAAUUAAUAUUUUUUAAAGCCUAAGUUUGACUCCCCAAAACCUUUUCUCUACAGUAUCUUGAACCAUACAGCAUUCGUUCUAUUGACUAAGUUCAGCUGACGCAAAGCAAGAACGGAAGAAAGCAGUGGUGAUGGGGUGACUCAUCGGCCUUCAGUGGAGGCAAUUAUGUCGGGCACACAGAGUCUGUGGGAGCUGCCCUUCCACCGAGGGAGAGACAAAGCGCAGGGCGUCUCAGCACCGAGGGUCUGUGUCUGUCCACGCAGCCAGCGGCCCCGUGUAGGAUGGGAGUCACGAAGCUCGGCCGGUAGAGACACACACACAUCACAUACCUCACGUCUACCGCCCCCUCCCUCAGCGAGGACCAUCGAGCACAUGAGUUCCACUUGGACGGAAAAGCAACGCUAGCAUUGCAGCGCCGUGGGUUCAUGGCACAGCCCUGAGGCUGAUUAUGGAGGCUGCCACCCCAGCGACAAAGUGACGCCCACGUCUUAACAGGAACGAGCAAAAUGAAGUUCUCUGCUGUUCACAUCAAGGCCAGUGUCAUCGGUGCUGCAUGCAGAUGGAUGCACCUUUCAAAUAGAGGCUCCAGGGGCGAUUCAAGACGUGCUAAUGUCUCUGUGAGGACGGAUGGCUCCCCUCACCCGGUCGCGGCUGAUAUUGAUAACUUGGUACAAGGCUGGGCUUUUCCUUGACAGCAUUGUCUGCUGUGAGAAUCUAGGGCUGCAAAUAAAACACCAGAAUAGUUAUGGGUAUCUUUCCA